This 73-nucleotide transfer RNA is filed under the name Felis catus (domestic cat). It matches the Rfam family "tRNA". From Rfam's summary of the family: Transfer RNA (tRNA) molecules are approximately 80 nucleotides in length. Their secondary structure includes four short double-helical elements and three loops (D, anti-codon, and T loops). The record is from Rfam by way of RNAcentral. Lineage: Eukaryota; Metazoa; Chordata; Mammalia; Carnivora; Felidae.
UCCUGACUGGCUCAGUGAGUGGAGCAUGAAACUCUUAAUCUCGGGGUUGUGAGUUCAAGCCCCACAUUAGGUG